This is a long non-coding RNA of Coffea eugenioides, 2108 nucleotides long. RefSeq lists it as uncharacterized. NCBI's taxonomy places the organism in Eukaryota, Viridiplantae, Streptophyta, Magnoliopsida, Gentianales, Rubiaceae. The record is from RefSeq and is a predicted model, not a curated record. The transcript is spliced from 5 exons.
CCCAUUUCUCCUCCCUUUGCCACUAAUCCCCAACCCCCCUCUCUUGAAGAACAGGGAAGGGGAGACAAGGAUGGAGGAGGAAGAUGACUGAUUCUUCAUCUCCAUCAUCUGAAUAAUUUCCAUGAUAUAAGCAUGGAGCAAGAACUUCACUCUGCUAAGAUGUGGAAUGAUCUGAGAUUAAAGUUUGUGCCCUACUUUUAAACUUCAAUGGUGGAAUUCAAGUUCAGAAGGUAAACCUUUAGCUCUCAACCCAUAUUUUUUUCUUAAGCAAAAAUAACAAAGAUGCAAAUGUCUGACUGCUUGGAGCUCCUACUUUCUUAACCUUUUUUUCCCUUUAGUUUUGUGAUUAGUUUGUUUUUCCAGUGUUGUGUAUGCAAGUUUGAAGAUUUUGCCUUCGAUAACUAACUUUCCUCAGUGGAUGAAUGGUAAGCUUUAUGGAUCUGAAAAGUACUUUUAUUUUGACUGAUGAAGAUAAUAUCUAGGUGGGUUUCUUUAAAUUUGUGGGAUUUCUGGUGAAGAAUUUAUCUUUAAGGCUAUACAUAAUGGCUCUUGUGGAAUAUAGCAGAAAACUGCUCUAUCCUCUGAGCUUGUUCCUGUGUCUGGUAAAUAUUUGAUACAUUUUAGUUGGUUUAACUCCCUAGCUGUCAUUUCAGUGGCAGUGUCACGUUAAAAUUGUCAAUAUUAGAAGCCAAACUGCUACUUCUCCAUCUAAUUGGUACUUAUUCUAGUAGUUUUUAUAACUUUUCAGGAUUUUGACUGCAUUUAUUUUAGUACUAAUCAUCUCAUUGAGAUAUAUAACUACAUCAUCAGGCUACAUGUCAUUUGGUUUGAUUUUGGUGGUGAUGAACUAUCAUGCAAACACUGAUCACGUGGGAGGAUGGCCAUGGUGCUUGCGCUGUAAUUUAUUGCACAAGGUAGACUUGGGGUAGUCAUUGGGUAGAUAUUAACUUCAGAUGAGAACAGUUUUUGUGUUAGCUAUCCUCUGACAUUUUUCUUCCCUGGGAUCCUGGAGAGUUCUUUAAAGUAUCAUUGUUUAGUCGAAAAUGAAUUGUUUUUGCAUGGUUUUCAUUUGUUUGUUUUGAUUUUCCUCUGUGUUUAGGAAGUGAUUUAAUUGAUUAUAUGCCUCGGAUUAAACUUUUUACCUCUUUCUAUUCAACAUAUUUGAAACUGUGAUCAAGGCACCUCCCCUUGGAUUAAAGCACCAUAGAAGUUUUCUUUCUUUCUUUGUAUUUUUCCUGGCUGUUUGGGUUCUUUCUGACGUGCUGCCUUUGCAUUAGUGAUUGAGACAAUAAAAAUACACGCAACGGAUAAACACUGCUUAAUCAUUGGAAGAAGUAAAAUUUUGAAAUUAUGGUUGAAUAAAGAUAGAAGAUUGUUUCUUGAGGGCUCCUGAUCAAAUGGGAUGAGACGUGAAUUCUCUCCACUUUUAAGGUUUUUCAUUGCCUUUAGUGAUUUAAUCAAUUUCUUUUCUCCUGAGAUCUUUAGCUUCUUCUGUCUCUGUCGAGUGACCAAGAAAAAUGGACACCUGCAAAAAGACUAUCCAGAAGCUUAGUAAGUGGGAGUUAUCGUCAGAUUCAGGUUUUUUUUUGCUUUUGGUUCCUUUGCACUGGACUAUUUAAUUUUUUUUUUAGGUAUCUUCUAUGCAGUUGUAUGUUGACUGUUGACUCACAAAAGGCAAUCUAUGAGAUGUCUCAAAUACUAACUAGGAGCAGUGAAAGUAUGAAAGGGAAGUGGUGGUAAUUCUGCUAGAGGCCUUAAGAAUCAAUUGCUUUACUUGUAAAAGCUUCAUUUUAGCAGCAAGAGAAUAUGACUGCUACCACAUUGGGUAAGGAUAGCUUGAGACCUGGUGAAGAGGAAGAUGAUGACGAUGAUGCUGCUCAAGAAAAGGCAAGGCAGCGGGAUGACCAUGUGAUGCUGUCCUUGGUUUCUUUGUGAACUAACAAGCUACUUUUUUUAGCAAGUCUGAUUGUAAUUGAGCAUGUCUAACAAAUUUGUCCAUUCUCUUGUACAUAAAACGAGAUUAUUUACAUCUGGAUGGAGAUUCUUGUAAUGUUAGUCUUGUAUUUUAAAGAUCAAUAGAUGAGCCUCAGUUUCCUUUUGUUUAUUCA